CCAACACUGGGACUGAGAACUGCCCAGACUCCUACGGGAGGCUGCAGUCGAGAAUCAUUCGCAAUGGGCGAAAGCCUGACGAUGCGACGCUGUGUGAGCGAUGAAGGCCUUCGGGUUGUAAAGCUCUUUCGCUUGGGAACAAGGGAGAAUAACUAACACUUAUUCAACUUGAGGGUACCAGGUAAAGAAGCACCGGCUAACUCCA
This 205-nucleotide ribosomal RNA is filed under the name uncultured Chlamydiales bacterium. RNAcentral's name for it is "partial 16S ribosomal RNA". It matches the Rfam family "Bacterial small subunit ribosomal RNA", at positions 307 to 505 of the family's 1533-position model. The record is from RNAcentral. Lineage: Bacteria; Pseudomonadati; Chlamydiota; Chlamydiia; Chlamydiales.